AGUGAACGCUGGCGGUAGGCCUAACACAUGCAAGUCGAACGGCAGCACAGUAAGAGCUUGCUCUUACGGGUGGCGAGUGGCGGACGGGUGAGGAAUACAUCGGAAUCUACUUUUUCGUGGGGGAUAACGUAGGGAAACUUACGCUAAUACCGCAUACGACCUACGGGUGAAAGCAGGGGAUCUUCGGACCUUGCGCGAUUGAAUGAGCCGAUGUCGGAUUAGCUAGUUGGCGGGGUAAAGGCCCACCAAGGCGACGAUCCGUAGCUGGUCUGAGAGGAUGAGAGGCAAUGAGAGGACUGAGAGACGGCCCAGACGGGGACGGUAGGCAGCGGGGGGGAAUAUUAACCCAUGGGAGGAAGGAUGAGGAAGAAACGCUGAGUGCGGGAUGAGGUCCUGCGGGUUGUAAACAGCUGGCGCCUGUUACGACGCGGGAGUGACGGUAAUGAGUAAAGAAGCACCGGCUAAUUACGGG
Molecule: ribosomal RNA, 472 nt
Filed under: uncultured bacterium
Lineage: Bacteria
Description: partial 16S ribosomal RNA
Rfam family: Bacterial small subunit ribosomal RNA
Source: RNAcentral